AUGCCGCUCACACAGGCCAUCCUGCUCUCAGUGGUCAUGUUAGCGCGCAGCCACCACGUCCCGCCAGAGCUGCAGCUGCACUCCUCUGCGUGCAGCAAGACGUUCCCGUCCUACCAAGCUAGAGCUACAAGGCCAGCCACUGCAAGUCCGUGGCCUGGCACACCACCUGCAAUUGCAGUAAGCGCUGAGCAGCAACAGGAGGAGAGACUGUCAGCAACGUCGGCACCACCGCCAUGUCGUCACCUUCUCACAAGCCAUGACGGCAGAGGCACUCUCCUCAGCGCCAGAGCCGUCAUAGCUCAGCCUGGCGGACCUCAAGGCCGCAUCCGUGCUCGGCGGUGA
RNAcentral lists this ribosomal RNA (342 nucleotides) under Triticum aestivum (bread wheat). Its description in RNAcentral is "partial small subunit ribosomal RNA". The record is from RNAcentral. Lineage: Eukaryota; Viridiplantae; Streptophyta; Magnoliopsida; Poales; Poaceae.